AAUGAAUGCGGCUGCUAUACAUGCAGUCGAGCGACAGAUGAGAAGCUUGCUUCUCUGAUGUUAGCGGCGGACGGGUGAGUAACACGUGGGUAACCUACCUAUAAGACUGGGAUAACUCCGGGAAACCGGGGCUAAUACCGGAUAAUAUUUUGAACCGCAUGGUUCAAUAGUGAAAGACGGUUUCGGCUGUCACUUAUAGAUGGACCCGCGCCGUAUUAGCUAGUUGGUAAGGUAACGGCUUACCAAGGCGACGAUACGUAGCCGACCUGAGAGGGUGAUCGGCCACACUGGAACUGAGACACGGUCCAGACUCCUACGGGAGGCAGCAGUAGGGAAUCUUCCGCAAUGGGCGAAAGCCUGACGGAGCAACGCCGCGUGAGUGAUGAAGGUCUUCGGAUCGUAAAACUCUGUUGUUAGGGAAGAACAAAUUUGUUAGUAACUGAACAAGUCUUGACGGUACCUAACCAGAAAGCCACGGCUAACUACGUGCCAGCAGCCGCGGUAAUACGUAGGUGGCAAGCGUUAUCCGGAAUUAUUGGGCGUAAAGCGCGCGUAGGCGGUUUCUUAAGUCUGAUGUGAAAGCCCACGGCUCAACCGUGGAGGGUCAUUGGAAACUGGGAAACUUGAGUGCAGAAGAGGAGAGUGGAAUUCCAUGUGUAGCGGUGAAAUGCGCAGAGAUAUGGAGGAACACCAGUGGCGAAGGCGGCUCUCUGGUCUGUAACUGACGCUGAUGUGCGAAAGCGUGGGGAUCAAACAGGAUUAGAUACCCUGGUAGUCCACGCCGUAAACGAUGAGUGCUAAGUGUUAGGGGGUUUCCGCCCCUUAGUGCUGCAGCUAACGCAUUAAGCACUCCGCCUGGGGAGUACGACCGCAAGGUUGAAACUCAAAGGAAUUGACGGGGACCCGCACAAGCGGUGGAGCAUGUGGUUUAAUUCGAAGCAACGCGAAGAACCUUACCAAAUCUUGACAUCCUUUGACCGCUCUAGAGAUAGAGUCUUCCCCUUCGGGGGACAGAGUGACAGGUGGUGCAUGGUUGUCGUCAUCUCGUGUCGUGAGAUGUUGGGUUAAGUCCCGCAACGAACCGCCACCCUUAAGCUUAUUUGCCCUCAUUUAAGUUGGGCACUCAAGGUUGACCCCCGGGGAAAACCCGGAAGAAAGGGGGGGAAGGACGUCCAUACUUCAGGGCCCCUUAAGAAUUUGGCCCUUCAAGAGUGGGGAAAAGGGUAUAAUAAAAGGGGGACGGAAUCCCCGGGGGCCCCCCAAACCCCCGGGGGGUUUCCCCCCUCAAAAAAAGGC
Molecule: ribosomal RNA, 1296 nt
Filed under: Mammaliicoccus sciuri
Lineage: Bacteria; Bacillati; Bacillota; Bacilli; Caryophanales; Staphylococcaceae
Description: bacterial SSU rRNA
Rfam family: Bacterial small subunit ribosomal RNA
Source: RNAcentral